AGUCGAGCGCAGGAAGCAAGUUGAUCCCCUUCGGGGGUGACGCUUGUGGAAUGAGCGGCGGACGGGUGAGUAACACGUGGGCAACCUGCCUGUAAGACUGGGAUAACCCCGGGAAACCGGGGCUAAUACCGGAUAAUACUUUCUUUUGCAUAAAGGAAAGUUGAAAGGCGGCUUCGGCUGUCACUUACAGAUGGGCCCGCGGCGCAUUAGCUAGUUGGUGAGGUAACGGCUCACCAAGGCGACGAUGCGUAGCCGACCUGAGAGGGUGAUCGGCCACACUGGGACUGAGACACGGCCCAGACUCCUACGGGAGGCAGCAGUAGGGAAUCUUCCGCAAUGGACGAAAGUCUGACGGAGCAACGCCGCGUGAGUGAUGAAGGUUUUCGGAUCGUAAAACUCUGUUGUUAGGGAAGAACAAGUUGGGUAGUAACUGACCCAACCUUGACGGUACCUAACCAGAAAGCCACGGCUAACUACGUGCCAGCAGCCGCGGUAAUACGUAGGUGGCAAGCGUUGUCCGGAAUUAUUGGGCGUAAAGCGCUCGCAGGCGGUCCUUUAAGUCUGAUGUGAAAUCUCGCGGCUCAACCGCGAACGGUCAUUGGAAACUGGAGGACUUGAGUACAGAAGAGGAGAGUGGAAUUCCACGUGUAGCGGUGAAAUGCGUAGAGAUGUGGAGGAACACCAGUGGCGAAGGCGACUCUCUGGUCUGUAACUGACGCUGAGGAGCGAAAGCGUGGGGAGCGAACAGGAUUAGAUACCCUGGUAGUCCACGCCGUAAACGAUGAGUGCUAGGUGUUAGGGGGUUUCCGCCCCUUAGUGCUGAAGUUAACGCAUUAAGCACUCCGCCUGGGGAGUACGGCCGCAAGGCUGAAACUCAAAGAAUUGACGGGGGCCCGC
This 897-nucleotide ribosomal RNA is filed under the name Oceanobacillus sp. Its description in RNAcentral is "bacterial SSU rRNA". It matches the Rfam family "Bacterial small subunit ribosomal RNA", at positions 45 to 924 of the family's 1533-position model. Lineage: Bacteria; Bacillati; Bacillota; Bacilli; Caryophanales; Bacillaceae. The record is from RNAcentral.